Drosophila melanogaster (fruit fly) is the source of this 386-nucleotide non-coding RNA. The record is from Ensembl. Lineage: Eukaryota; Metazoa; Arthropoda; Insecta; Diptera; Drosophilidae.
GGAAUUCGAAGCCAAUAAAUCGCCAUUCAGUGGGAUCGAUCGUGUGCGAAAUGUGGGUGGAGAUGGACGUGUGGGGUAUAAAUUAAACACCUUUCUGGGUCGCUAUAAACAAUAACAACGAGAAUCCGAGAGCUGCUGGCAAAAAAACAAAUCGGAGCAAAACAAAAAACACACAAAUAACACACCACCAAUAGCGGCAAACGUAAACAACAACUGGCCAACUUGGGUGCAAAUGGAACACACACAGCUCGGCUGAUAACCGCAGAGAAUGCCAGUGAGACAACAUGGAAUAGAUCACGUUUCUGCAUUUCUCAUACGGCCCAAGCACCCUACACCCCGAAUCCGAGCCGUUUCAACAUUGGAACCCCCUCCCGAAAACGGAACCC